RNAcentral lists this long non-coding RNA (1179 nucleotides) under Canis lupus familiaris (dog). RNAcentral's name for it is "lncRNA (ENSCAFG00030006864.1)". Lineage: Eukaryota; Metazoa; Chordata; Mammalia; Carnivora; Canidae. The record is from RNAcentral.
AUGGGUGGGCAGUUCGGAGGCGGCCACGGCUUUCCCGCGUGUUCUCGGCGCCCGGUCCGCCGCGGUGUGGGACGCAGGGUUUGGGUGGCCCGCGGCCGGGAGCGGUGUGCGGACCCCCGGAGUGAGGCCGGCCUCCCCAGGACCCGGCCCGCCGGGUGUUCCUGCCUUUCGCUGGUCCGCGUGCGGCGCCCUGCGUCGGCAUUUGUCCUGCUGCCCUCCUCCCGCGUCCGCGCGGCGGGGACCCCGGAGGUUUCGUGGGCGCUUCCUGUGGGGUGCACCGGAUGGCCCCGGUGCCAGCGCUCCCUCGGGACUCCGGGGUGGGAGAAGGGCGUUCCGGUCAGCAACCCGAGUCUGGCCCAAGAGCAGAUGCCCUCGGUGCCCCAGGCCCCCUCUGCGCCCCGCGCGCCCCUGCUGACUCCGCCCCUACCCCUUGCACCUGCAGACCCCGCCCCUCCUCUUUGCCCCUCGCUCCCCUGCAGACCUGCCCCGCCCACUGCGCACCUGCAAACCCCACCACUCCUCAUUGCCCCGCGUUCCCCUGCAGACCUGCGCCCCCGUGCACCUGCAGACCCCGCUCCCCACCUUGAACCUGCAGACCCCGCCCCUCCUCUUUGCCCCUCACUCCCCUGCAGACUCCGCCCCUGCCCCGUGCACCUGCAGACCCCGCCCCUCCUCUUUGCCCCUCGCUCCCCUGCAGACCUGCCCCGCCCACUGUGCACCUGCAAACCUCGCCGCUCCUCAUUGCCCCGCGUUCCGCUGCAGACCUGCGCCCCCGUGCACCUGCAGACCCCGCUCCCCACCUUGAACCUGCAGACCCCGCUCCUCCUCAUUGCCCCUCACUCCCCUGCAGACUCCGCCCCUGCCCCGUGCACCUGCAGAUCCCGCCCCUCCUCAUUUACCUCGCUCCCCUGCAGACCUGCCCAGCCCCACUUUGAACCUGCAGACCCCGCCUCCGGAGACCGCUCUGGGGCCCUCCCUGGCUGCGUGUCUGACCCGCCAAGGCACCUGGUAUCCCACGCCGGCCCACCGUGCAGGGUUUGGGUGAGCGCUACGCGGUGGCCUAGAGAAAGCACUCACCGGUUACCUAGCACGGAUCAAUACCCGAUAAACUUUGCUCACGGAUUCGGGGAGCAUGGAGUUAGAUUGACAGACCCUGGUGCUCAUCUCAAGUGGUACUGA